RNAcentral lists this small RNA (68 nucleotides) under Metabacillus litoralis. RNAcentral's name for it is "Bacillus litoralis Bacillaceae-1 RNA". It matches the Rfam family "Bacillaceae-1 RNA". Lineage: Bacteria; Bacillati; Bacillota; Bacilli; Caryophanales; Bacillaceae. The record is from Rfam by way of RNAcentral.
AGCUAAGGAACUUCUGCUAAGUUCCGUCACGUCCUGUGACGAACGCAGAAGUCAGCACAUCAUGUGCA